GCUACACAUGCAAGUCGACGGUAACAGGAAGCAGCUUGCUGCUUCGCUGACGAGUGGCGGACGGGUGAGUAAUGUCUGGGAAACUGCCUGAUGGAGGGGGAUAACUACUGGAAACGGUAGCUAAUACCGCAUAAUGUCGCAAGACCAAAGAGGGGGACCUUCGGGCCUCUUGCCAUCGGAUGUGCCCAGAUGGGAUUAGCUAGUAGGUGGGGUAACGGCUCACCUAGGCGACGAUCCCUAGCUGGUCUGAGAGGAUGACCAGCCACACUGGAACUGAGACACGGUCCAGACUCCUACGGGAGGCAGCAGUGGGGAAUAUUGCACAAUGGGCGCAAGCCUGAUGCAGCCAUGCCGCGUGUAUGAAGAAGGCCUUCGGGUUGUAAAGUACUUUCAGCGGGGAGGAAGGUGCUGAGGUUAAUAACCUCNNCAAUUGACGUUACCCGCAGAAGAAGCACCGGCUAACUCCGUGCCAGCAGCGGCGGUAAUAAA
RNAcentral lists this ribosomal RNA (489 nucleotides) under Enterobacter hormaechei. RNAcentral's name for it is "bacterial SSU rRNA". It matches the Rfam family "Bacterial small subunit ribosomal RNA", at positions 48 to 527 of the family's 1533-position model. Lineage: Bacteria; Pseudomonadati; Pseudomonadota; Gammaproteobacteria; Enterobacterales; Enterobacteriaceae. The record is from RNAcentral.